Long non-coding RNA from Siniperca chuatsi (mandarin fish), 776 nucleotides. RefSeq lists it as uncharacterized. Lineage: Eukaryota; Metazoa; Chordata; Actinopteri; Centrarchiformes; Sinipercidae. The transcript is spliced from 3 exons. The record is from RefSeq and is a predicted model, not a curated record.
GCUGCUGGGCAGGCUGUCCACCUGGCAGGGAGUGGGCCGGUGUCUGGCCAGAGGGCAGGGUGUGGGAGGACUGCUGCUGUUGCUGCUGCUGCUGGUGAUGAUGAUGAUGGUGGUGGUGGUGGUGAUGGUGCUGCAGGUGUCUGCAUGGUGGCCAUGGGCUGGUCGAUGGAGGUGAAGGCUGAGAUAGCUGACAUAAGAACAUCGUCACUGACCAGCACGUUGCCUUGGACCAGAGUGUGUGUCAGAGGAGAGGGAGGGACUGUGAUGAGUCUGUGGUCCAGAGCUGAUUGACGGGACGGGUGUGUAGGCAUUCGUGGAGGCCAAGGACACUGUGGACAGGGAGGGGGCACUAGACUGGCACUGCUCCCUCUUGUGUGUCAUGAAGGCUGGCAGAGAAUUGAACUGUUUCUUACACUUCCCACACAGGAACACGUCCUCGUCGUCUGUAGGUAGGACAAACGUGGAGGUUUGAGGCAAACGCAGCAACGGAGAGAAAGAAUAACAGACCUACAGUGCUGUGCAGCUCCAGCAUUUCCACGCAAAUAAAUGUCAAUUUAUUCGUAUGUACUCACAUAUUAUAUUGUAUUGCCAAUUAAUACAACAUAGUUGUUGUCAAUCUAUACUCCAAUAUUUUAUGUUUGCUGGUCUACACAGCUGGUUUCUGGUAGGUCUUUCAGGGAAGAGUACUUUGGGCAUACAGGAUGUAAUGAUGCAUUUUACAUUUCAAGCAGUGGCAAAAAUGGCUUGUUAGGAAUAAAAAGAGAAAAACAAGGUCA